CGGAUUCAGGUUGGCAUGGGAACUGCACAGAAUGUUAAGCAACAAACAGAAAAAAACCAAAGCAUGUGUCAAAUGAACCUAAGAAAUAGAUGGCUCAGGAGAUGGUGUUAGCAUUGGAAAGAACAAAACAUGAAUCUGAAGCCUUCUACCACACAGCCCUCUCAAGAUAACUGGCCAUGACUGUGUCUGAUAGCCAAACUACAGAUCAAGAAUCUUUUCAUACUGCUAUGCCCAGAAGUGAAUGUGGACUAAGGUACAGGGCCGAAAAUAAAAGCCUGUGUGGAGAAGCACAGAGAGAUUCUUCAUAAAGCAUGUGUGAGUUACUGGAGGAAUCAUCACUACAGAAGAUAGCUUACAGAAAGAUACCUUGCAGAGGGAAAUCAAGUUCUUGAAGACUCAGGAAGUUGGUAGAAAGACAGUCGUUUUUCUGUCUAUUACAUGCCGUA
This 446-nucleotide long non-coding RNA is filed under the name Vulpes vulpes (red fox). RNAcentral describes it as "lncRNA (ENSVVUG00000003170.1)". Lineage: Eukaryota; Metazoa; Chordata; Mammalia; Carnivora; Canidae. The record is from RNAcentral.